UUUCAGGACUAAAAACACUGUGAUGUGCCCCAAGUCUCCUAGAAAGUAAACAUCCUUUUGAAAGCCUCAUUUCACAGCAAGGAGAACAGGAGACCGAGAGCACAGGAACAGCCAGAGAAGGUUACAAGCAGAUACAGAGGGAGAGAAAAAAAGGUGCAGGAUUCUAUACCCUUGACACAAACAUGCUGCUUGUGUUCACAAUGGCUGGAAUGGCUAUGUCACUGUGUUACAACAGAUGCCUAGUUACCUGAUAAAGAGACGUCUGAAGUGGAUUUGAGAAGGCAGUCCCUGCAAAACACCUAGGAAAGAUUUUUCUAGAGUUCAAGGUCACAAAAACUAAGAAUUUUUGUAAGACUCAUGGAGUCAAGUACAAUAGUCCCAGGCUGGACCAGCUACAUAAAGUCAAAGAGCCCAUGACAAGCAGCAACUCAAGGAAAUAGGUUUAGGAAAAUGCAGACUGCUAUCAUACUGAACCUCUCCAGAUUAUUCUCAAGUUAUUUAGCGACCUUCAUUCAGCCGUUCCUCCUGUGUAUAGAGCUUCCCUACAGAUGUAUGGUAAGGCCAAAAGUAUGACAGAAACGCAGCUUUCCUAUAAUUUCAGACUUAUUUUUUAAAGUCCUUGUUAUAAAGAAUAAUGACCCAAACUGGAACAAAAAACUUUCAUAUGCUAAAUAUAGAGAGAUCACGUACUAAGAAACACAAAGUGUAGCAGCCUAAGUCUCCCUGUUCCUAUUAUAACAAAUACUUUUUUGUGAUUUUUUUCUUUCUUUGCUUUGUAAUACAAGCAACAUUCUCUGAAUUUUUUUUUGUUUGAUGCACCAUAACUAGUGAAUAAUGGUUUUUAUACCAAAUUUGCAGAUUUCAGGUUUUCCUCAGUUCUUAGGUUUAAGUCAGAAUAACAUUCCCCACUCACUAGUGCCUGUUACCAUAAAGACAAAAAGCUACCAAAGGAAGAUUAGUAAGCAUCAGGAAAAUUCAGUUAGAAACAGUACCUUCCUUCAAAGAUAACAUUUAAAAUAGAUGAAACAGACAAACAUCAAAUCCAGAUUCACACUCAACCAUGAUAUGGAUGGGAGUAGGGAAGGAAUUUCUAUAAAGGACAAGUAACUCGGUUGGCCUUGGUUGCCCAGGACAGCCACAUCACACCAGGAGAAGUAGAUAUAAUUGAGGUGUUUUAGUAAAUUACAGAAUUUCAUAUUUUAUUGCCUUCAGUUUUGUCUCUUCCCCUUUUGUUAUGGUAAAUUCACAUCCACAUUCAGUUUAAAGAGAUAAAACCCACUCCACAAAGUAAACCAGUGCAUUUUCUCAAGAUCUAUAAAGGUUAUAAAUGUAUAAUAUGAAUUUUACUUAGCUAAUACUGCUUUCUCCAGUUAGUUAACUAUUUCAGAACUUUAAAAAUUUGAUUCCAGGAGACAGCCAAAUGCAUCUUUUUUAUUGAACUUAAAACCAGUAUAUGAUUGCCUUUGAUUCUCAAAGACUUCAGUACUGGUCUCAAGUGGUAGCUAGCAUAUUUUAUUUUCCUCUUAAAUUUUUAUUUUUUGGUAAUUUGUUCAAAUCUAAUUGCACCACCUUAUCAGACUGAUACCACAGCAUUAUUUGGCAUUGAAUUUUACACUUCGACAUAUAUCAACUUAAAUGGAUAAGAAUGGGAAAGACAAACAAAACUAAUCAGAAACAAAAUUAGUUUACUUCCAAGCAUAAUUCAGCAAAAG
Passer domesticus (house sparrow) is the source of this 1712-nucleotide long non-coding RNA. RefSeq lists it as uncharacterized. Lineage: Eukaryota; Metazoa; Chordata; Aves; Passeriformes; Passeridae. The transcript has 3 exons. The record is from RefSeq and is a predicted model, not a curated record.